UACGUAGGUGGCAAGCGUUGUCCGGAUUUACUGGGCGUAAAGGGCGCGUAGGCGGUUUGACAAGUCUGAUGUGAAAUCUCUGGGCUCAACCCAGAGUCUGCAUUAGAAACUGUCGGGCUUGAGUAUGGGAGAGGUGAGUGGAAUUUCCGGUGUAGCGGUGAAAUGCGUAGAUAUCGGAAGGAACACCUGUGGCGAAAGCGGCUCACUGGACCAUAACUGACGCUGAGGCGCGAAAGCUAGGGGAGCAAACAGG
RNAcentral lists this ribosomal RNA (253 nucleotides) under uncultured bacterium. Its description in RNAcentral is "partial 16S ribosomal RNA". It matches the Rfam family "Bacterial small subunit ribosomal RNA", at positions 524 to 776 of the family's 1533-position model. The record is from RNAcentral.